ACAACAUUCGGACCGUCGGUCUAUCGAGCAAUUUCACUCGUUCGAUGGAAGAUCUUCUAUUGGUCGU
Molecule: microRNA precursor, 67 nt
Filed under: Bombyx mori (domestic silkworm)
Lineage: Eukaryota; Metazoa; Arthropoda; Insecta; Lepidoptera; Bombycidae
Description: mir-2774 microRNA precursor family
Rfam family: mir-2774 microRNA precursor family
Source: Rfam by way of RNAcentral